RNAcentral lists this long non-coding RNA (680 nucleotides) under Monodelphis domestica (gray short-tailed opossum). RNAcentral's name for it is "lncRNA (ENSMODG00000040554.1)". Lineage: Eukaryota; Metazoa; Chordata; Mammalia; Didelphimorphia; Didelphidae. The record is from RNAcentral.
AUGAAUAGGAAGUAAUCUCAAGGGAAAGGUGGGAGAAAGAACUGGGCAAGGACUUCUGAAGAAGGCAGGGUUGAGAGGAAUUUUUUUUUAAAACUCUUACUUAGUAAUGACUCUAAGAAGGGCAAGGGUUAAGCAAAUAGGUUAAGUGACUUGGUCAGGGUCACACAACUAGGAAGUAUCUGUGGCAAAAUUUGAACUUCUGACUUUGGGCUUGGCACUCUGUCCACUGAACCACCUAGCUGCACCUGGCUGAGAAGAGUCUUGAAAGAAGUCAGGGGGGCCAGGAGUCAGAGGUGAGAAGGGAAAGCAUUCCAGGCACGGCAAAGGGUCAGUCCGGAGACGGAGUGGCAACUUAGCAGAUGGUCUUAUCCAAAUUCAUGUCUCCCCCAGUUCCCAGAAAAGGCCUCAGAGGCCCCCAAUAGGCUCUCAAUCUGUAGUUUGUUUGUUUUUAACCCUUACCGUACCGUUUUAGAAUCAUACCGUGUAUUGGUUCCAAGGAAGAAGAGAAGGGGUUGGGCAAUGGGGGUCAGUGACUUAACCAGAGUCUCACAGCUAGAAAGUGUCAGGAUUAUUAUGGAAGGAAGUGGACAUUGGCUCAGGGCAGAGAGAAUUUCUAUUAGCAGGAGGAAAUCUACUAUUUGGGUCUUCUUCAGCAGAAAUGCUCGUAAGUUAAUAAAUUG